Molecule: microRNA precursor, 78 nt
Filed under: Schistosoma margrebowiei
Lineage: Eukaryota; Metazoa; Platyhelminthes; Trematoda; Strigeidida; Schistosomatidae
Description: mir-3492 microRNA precursor family
Rfam family: mir-3492 microRNA precursor family
Source: Rfam by way of RNAcentral
AGCUUUUUGAAUCCGUAAAGAGAUUUUGUCAGAAACUAACCCAUUAGCAAUGAUCAGACUUCCAAGAUAAGUGAAGUU